This 610-nucleotide unclassified non-coding RNA is filed under the name Hevea brasiliensis (rubber tree). Lineage: Eukaryota; Viridiplantae; Streptophyta; Magnoliopsida; Malpighiales; Euphorbiaceae. The record is from RNAcentral.
CUCAGCUCAAUAUCAUACUUUUGAAUAAAAUUUAGGAUAACAAACGGAAAACCAACCAACAAAAACACAGUGAGACAGAUAAGGGAAAUCUAACAGUUGCUAAUUUCUCAUCGAAAUAGGAGAAACCUGGGUGAAAGCAUGUGUAGCUUUCGUCUAUUUUGCUUGAGGGUGAGAGGCAAUAAAAUCAACAGCAAGAUUUAUAGCAUUGAUUCUGUCUGCUUCAUUGUCAGGAAUUUCAAACCGGAACUCUUCUUCAAGAGCCAUCACAACUUCCACGGUAUCUAAACUAUCCAAGCCUAGAUCAUUUUGAAAAUGGGCCGUCGGAGUAACCUUGGAAGGAUCGACUUUCUGAAAUUUCUUGACAACGGAAAUGACGCGGUCGGUGACUUCCGAUUUGUCGAGAAAAGAACCCCUCACCUCCUCGGAGAAGAGACGGUGUCGAAUCGCAUUGAAGGGGUUAACGUAGAAAAUGGGGCUGUCGUUUUUGGGCAGGGCCUUGACAUGAACCCUAAGAUGCUUCAGCAGAGAGUUUCUAGCCGCCAUUGGAAGUGAAAAAAUGAAAAUGUGCUCGUGAGGGAAGCUCUAUGCGUUAUUUGACGCAGGCCAAGGG